Molecule: ribosomal RNA, 495 nt
Filed under: uncultured bacterium
Lineage: Bacteria
Description: partial 16S ribosomal RNA
Rfam family: Bacterial small subunit ribosomal RNA
Source: RNAcentral
GAUGAACGCUAGCGGGAGGCCUAACACAUGCAAGCCGAGCGGUAUUGUUUCUUCGGAAAUGAGAGAGCGGCGUACGGGUGCGUAACACGUGUGCAACCUGCCUUUAUCUGGGGGAUAGCCUUUCGAAAGGAAGAUUAAUACUCCAUAAUAUAUUGAACGGCAUCGUUUAAUAUUGAAAGCUCCGGCGGAUAGAGAUGGGCACGCGCAAGAUUAGCUAGUUGGUGAGGUAACGGCUCACCAAGGCGAUGAUCUUUAGGGGGCCUGAGAGGGUGAUCCCCCACAAUGGUACUGAGACACGGACCAGACUCCUACGGGAGGCAGCAGUGAGGAAUAUUGGUCAAUGGGUGCAAGCCUGAACCAGCCAUCCCGCGUGAAGGACGACUGCCCUACGGGUUGUAAACUUCUUUUGUAUAGGGAUAAACCUACCCUCGUGAGGGUAGCUGAAGGUACUAUACGAAUAAGCACCGGCUAACUCCGUGCCAGCCGCCGCAGUAA